This 628-nucleotide ribosomal RNA is filed under the name uncultured bacterium. RNAcentral describes it as "bacterial SSU rRNA". The stretch from base 1 to 543 matches the Rfam family "Bacterial small subunit ribosomal RNA", at positions 338 to 873 of the family's 1533-position model. The record is from RNAcentral.
CCUACGGGAGGCAGCAGUGGGGAAUUUUGGACAAUGGACGCAAGUCUGAUCCAGCCAUGCCGCGUGUGGGAAGAAGGCCUUCGGGUUGUAAACCACUUUUGUCAGGGAAGAAACGGCCUGGGUUAAUACCUUGGGCUAAUGACGGUACCUGAAGAAUAAGCACCGGCUAACUACGUGCCAGCAGCCGCGGUAAUACGUAGGGUGCAAGCGUUAAUCGGAAUUACUGGGCGUAAAGCGUGCGCAGGCGGUUAUGCAAGACAGAUGUGAAAUCCCCGGGCUCAACCUGGGAACUGCAUUUGUGACUGCAUGGCUAGAGUACGGUAGAGGGGGAUGGAAUUCCGCGUGUAGCAGUGAAAUGCGUAGAUAUGCGGAGGAACACCGAUGGCGAAGGCAAUCCCCUGGACCUGUACUGACGCUCAUGCACGAAAGCGUGGGGAGCAAACAGGAUUAGAUACCCUGGUAGUCCACGCCCUAAACGAUGUCAACUGGUUGUUGGGAGGGUUUCUUCUCAGUAACGUAGCUAACGCGUGAAGUUGACCCGCCUGGGGGAGGUACGGCCGCGAGGUAGAACGUACGAAGAAGUAGACGGCGUGAGACGUAGCCGACGGACGACGACGAGGGAGGAGGG